UGUAGAGAGACAGACCUUUAUCGAGUGCUUAAUAUAAGGCAGUCACUGUGCUAUUUCAAAAUGAUACAGGUGUGCAUAAUUCUAAACCAUUUCCAGGGUGAAAUCUGCUCAGAUUACCAUAUGAUAGCUAUGGCAUAUGAAAGAGAUUCUAGAAAGAAUGUAGAAAACCUGUGAGUAGUAUUUCUGAGUGAUGUCUAUUGUUACUGUCACCAUGUUUAAGUCCCUUUCCAUACACUAUCCACUAAUCCUCACUUAAUAGUAAUGGCCAUUACUCUUGUUUUAGAGAUGAAGAAAUAAGUUUUAGAGCAGUAGAAUCAGCUUGCUAUGGUUGACAUAACAAACCCCACAGACUGGGUGGCUUAAACAACAGAAAUUUGUUGUUCCGGAAUUCCCCAUAAUGGCAAAGCGUCCAGGUUGUCAAGGGGUGAGAACUGUUUCCCUGUACCUGGAGUGUUGCGGGGGGAGGGAUUAGCUCUGAAAAGUGGACAUUCACUUCUCACGCACUUCUCUCAUCCAGCUCUGUGGACCUUCCGGUAAAUAAAGCUCUGGCUGGACCCAGUGCUGGCCGGUCAGGGUGUGCCCGGUCACACUUCAGUCCUCAAAGGGAAUGCAGCGCAAUCUGUGAGCCUUUCUACAAACAAAAAUUAACUAACUUAACUCUGGAUGUUUAAUGAAUGGAGGGAAAUGACCUAUUUACUUUCUUCCGAGUUUUGCUGAAGCAAAUGAGUUUAAUCACUCUGUGCAGUAGGAAGCUUUGAGUAGGGAUUACAUGUACGUAAAAGUUGAGGAAAAAAUAUACAGUUGGACGUACACCUUAGAACAAUGGCCUCAGCUCUCCGGCGUGAUCUCACAUCCAUUCACACCCGGUGCUUUUCAGCCUGAGGAGCACUGUCCUGGGUGUCAUCUCAUUUGCACACAGCAGCAAGCUCUGAGCCAAGGAGGGGGGUGUUGUUUGUAUUGUUACUGAUGCUCCUGCUUCCCGUCAGAGGAAGCUGAAGCUCAGCUGGAGGGAGCGACCUUCCAAAUCCUACAGCUGUAGUUGCCCAAGUGGAUUAGAACCCAGGGUUUCUGAUCCCCAGCCUUAUAUUCCAACCAUCUCCGUCUUCUUCUACUCCAAUAUGCCACUCUCCUCCGCUUUGCAGAGACAAGUUUGCUGUCAUAGCACCUAAGCUGAGCAGCUUUGGAGUAGGACCCACAGAGAAAGAGGUCCUCUCUCCGUUGUAAGACCCCUCAACCUCUAAGCUGUCUCAGGGCUGACACCUUCCCCCAUCAGGUCUCCAUCUCCAGGUAGCCUUCUUAGAGAGCACGUUUGUGAUUCUCCUCUCAAAAGCAGUCUCCCACCCCCACCCUACCGUGGUUUGUCACAUCGUCCCAUAUAUUUCCUUCAUAGUACUAAACCUAUCUGUGUAAUGACCAUGAUGUGUGUUUGUUAACCUGUUUGCUACCUCCUCCAUGACACAGCAGCUCCAUUUGAAGAGCAGGCUGGGGAACCCUGCUCACUACCUGCCCUCAUCACCCACAGCAGAGUCUGGCAUAUAGAAGGUGCUCAGGAAGGACACCAGCCAGGGAAACAGGACAAGAACCACUACAUCAAGUCAUUCUAAGGCUCACAAUGAGGGAUGGAGGCAACUUCACAUUCUGGCUGAACCUCUUACCCUUUAUCUGACCUUGAGAGACUCAUUUUAACCUCUGCUAAUGGCUGAAUUGUGUCCUCCCCACCCCUAAACUCAUAUGACCAAGUCCUAACCCCCAAUACCUCCAAAUGGGUCUAUAUUUGGACACAGGGCCGUCCUAACCCCACAUGACCGGUAUCCUAAUAAGAGGAGGAAAUUGAGACACAAAACCUACAGAGGAAAGAUGAUGUGAAGAUGCAGUGAGGAGGUGGCCCAUCUACAAGCAAAACAGAGUUCUCAGAAGAAACCAAUCCUGCCAACACCUUGAUCUCAGAUUUCUAGUCUCCAGAAUUGUGAAAAAAUACAAUUGCAUGGUUUAAGCAAAUCAGUCUGUGGAGCCCUAGCAAACUGAUACAACCUCUCUAAGACUUAUUUUUUCAUCUCUAAAAUAAGAAUGGUCAGUACUAUUUAAUGUGGAUUAAUGAAAUAAUGUAUAGAAAGAGACAUAAUGCAGUGACAGUAACAUAGACAUCACUCAGAAAUACUAGCCACAAAUUGUCUACUUUCCUCCUAGAAUCUAACUCCUUCAUAUGGCAGUUAUCAGUAUGAUAAUCUUAGCAGAUUUCACAUAGAAGAUAGUUUAGAAUUGCGAUACCUGUAUAAUUUCAAAGUAACACCAAGACGGCUUUACAUUAAACACCCAAUUGAUAAUUGUAGUAUGAAUAAUGAAGGAAUGAAUUUGUAAGCAUAAUGGAUAUACCAAUCUAUUCUCUGGGUAAGCAAUUCCCUCCAAGCGCUAUGACUUAUAGAGGCACCCACCUAAAGCAGAGGGAAAAUUUCCAUUACAAUAAACGCAAACAUAGCAAAGCUGGGAGUUCCUGUUGUGGCUCAGAGAGUUAAGAACCUAACUAGUAUCCAUGAGGAUGCGGGUUUGAUCCCUAGACUCACUCAGUGGGUUAAGGAUCUGGCAUUGCCUCAAACUGUGGCAUAAGUCAGAGAUGCAGCUUGGAUCCCAAGUUGCUGUGGCUGUGGUGUAGGCCAGUAGCUGCAGCUAUGAUUCAACCCCUAGCCUAGAAACUUCCAUAUGCCACAGGUGCAGCCCUAAAAAUAAAAAAAAUAAACACAGCAAAGCCACAUCAUCACCUUAAAUGCAUAUUUAGUUGUGAGGCAAACCAUUCAUCUAUGAAAGAAAAUAAUUUCUAAUUCCUUUCUGGAGCAAGAUUAUAUCUUGAUUCAAGACUUGCUUUGUCUAAAUCCUACUUCUUUCUCCCAGGAAAAAAUCCAAAGCCUUAGAUGUUUCAAGAAAAGCCCUUCACAAACAGACUGACUAAGAAGCAUGGUGUUUCCCAUCCCCCUACUUCCUGGAAGAGGUUCCUGCUUCUCAAAGGUUUGCUCUGUCUAUUGCCAGCACAACCACCUCCAGACACCCACGCCCUGCAUUUCCUGUUGGUAAUGUCCGCUGGAGUAUCUGGUCACAUGGAUGCAAGAAAACACACACACACUGAAAUACAUAAUUGUCAGAGGAAGGAAACUUGGGAAUUGGAAAGGCCCCUUAAUUUAUGAUAAACACACAUUGUUAUUACUGGCUUAUCUUCGUCAUCAUUUGAAAAUAUUUCCACAGGGCAGUUUCUACCUACCUGGGCACCCUACAUUGCCUUAUGCACACACCUCUAGAUUAGAAGCUCGGAGUUCCAUCAUGGCUCAGUAGUUAACGAACCUGACUAGGAUCCACGAGGACAUGGGUUUGAUCCCUGGCCUCUCUCAGUGGCUUAAGGACUUGGUGUUGCUGUGGCUGUGGCGUAGGCUGGCAGCUAUAGCUCUGAUUCGACCCCUAGCCUGGGAACCUCCAUAUGCCACACAUGUGGCCCUCAAAAGACACACACACACAAAAUUAAAUAAAUAGAUGAGAACUUCGUUUCUAGUUCCCUGUCUAAGCAAAGAAUAUUUGCAUUUUUCCAAAAGUACAUUAAUUAGAGGUCCUUGCAGGAGAAGGUGAUCCGAUACAAUUCAUGUGCCCAUAGAACCCUUCCUGACCCUCUUUUUCUUUUUCCCAUAGGAGAGGAAAAACUGGCUAGAACAAAGAAGUACUUUUUUUUCUUGGCAAUUGAUAGCAUGUAGGUUUACACAGUGUACCCAGCCAAGUUGUUAUUUCCUUUCAGUAUAGGCUGAAGUUAGAUUCAUAUGUACUGAAGGAAUAUAAGAACCAUUUGUGUUUUUUUUAUUCCUUAUGAUACAUAAUAACUUUCACAUACCCUCCUGCCAAGAUGUAAAUAUAUUCAAUGGGCAAAUCAUCAGCAGUUCUGAAGAGGAAGCAAAAAGCUGGUUUCACUUAUUUAUUUUGUUUGGUUGAUUGUGUUAGCAUCAGAUUAUUAAAGGUACAUGUUCUCAUUUCCUUUGUUUAUAUUUUAUUAGAACACUAAUGACUGUUAUUAACAUUAUUACCACUCUUUAUAAUAACAUCUUGCCUUUAAAUGAAGUCUUUCGUCCUGAAAUAUCCCAAAGCUGUUUACAACCUAUUAAAUAAAUUAGACAUGGGCCUCACCUCACUCUCCCCAAAAAGGUACCCACUUCCGGCAGUGAAAUCCAGCCGCUGUAUUACCACAAGACUAGCCCAGCCUGGGAUGUCAUUAAGGACGGAAAGGGCCACAGAAAGUUUACUCAAUGUGGGGCUACAAGACCCCUUCAAGGAGAUAGAACCUCAAGCCUCUGGACAAGACAAGAAGUGCCAGACCUUUGUCAUUGCCCCCGCCCAUCUCAUUGUCCCCUACCUUGAGCAACCUGGCUUACUACUUCCUAUGCCCUACUAGGAAAGGUAUGCAGCCCACUCCCUACCCCACCCCUAUAGGGGCAUUAUAUGUGCUCAACCAACCAGCAAGAGUAUCUUAAGACCCCUCUUUUUCCAACCAAUCACCUGUCAACAGGUGUAACAUAAGACUUCUCCUCUCCUUGGGCCAUAAAAACAGACAUGACCAUGCACCUAGGGUCAUCAGCUCUCCCUGAUCAUCAGGAAGUGGUUCUGCCUCACUAGCAGCAUCAGUCUCUUAUCUCAAUAAGCUCUUCUUUCUUUUCACCUAACUAUACUGGAAAAUUCUUUUCUCCAACCUGCAUGCACAGAUGACGACACUCUAGUCAACUAGCCACUAGCCAUGGCACUAAGAGGCCCUAAAAGACAAGCAGAACAAAGGCCCUUUUUGAACUGUGGACCUUGAUCAAAGGUCUAAAGAGCUGGAUUGAUGAUUUGUCUUAUCUUCUGGACCCAGGCCUAAAAUAGUUAGAGGUGCAAAUCAGGAAAUAUGGUAUUUCUGCGAAUAUUAAAGGGAAAAAAGUUGCAGAUUUAUGAGAAAGAGAGUUAAUGCUCCUGAGGCAUUUAACCAUUGAAAUCAUCUGAACUGAAUCCAAAUACCUGUCUUUUUCAUGUUCACUUUUAUUAUUCACCUUCAAUGAUGAGAAUAUUGAAAACUGCUUGAAUCCCAUCCAAUGGUAUGUGUUUUUGUCCAGCCAACCGUUGAUCUAACCACCAUUAAUCUUUAAUUCUGUUAAAUUCAACCGCAUUGCUUUUUGCCUGCAAGACCCCACACGGGAGAGCCUCUUGAACUGGGAAGAAUUUUAGUAGAAGGCAUGUAAGCUAAUCAUUUCUUUUUCCAACAUUUCUCUACUCUUCUGAAUUGGGAGAAAAAAGGGCUACUGUAUUUUUUGACAGUCUGAGUGGACAGCAGUAGUAAUGUGUAACAACUCAUCUGCGAGUAUUCUGAAUUCUUCCUAGCAAGGCCCUCACAGCCCUGGGCCGCUCCUAUCUUUCCAUCCCACACUGUCGGCCCAGAGGGGACUGAAUCCCCUGGGUUCCAAAGGACAUUUGCUGUGCUCAUUCCCUCCAUAUCCAACUUCUCCUUCUGCUGCCGCUCAAGACUUUGUCAUGGAACGACUUCUCUGAGGGAAGAUUUCAGUUUCCUAAUCAAUUCUAGGGAAAAUUUUUCUGGACUGCAUUGAUAGUGUAGCCUGAAUACCAUGGAUUAUGGGCUUGAACUUUAGACAACAAAGCAAGCUCCUUUGAAAUCUAUUUAGCCUUCCAGUCAUCUUUGAUAAUGACUCUCAAUGAAGCCUUAAAUCCAUUUAGGUAUGCUGCUACAUGUUAUAAAACUAGAAAAACACUGGCAUCAGCAUUUGUUCUUUAGGGUAUUUAUAUUUAAGUUGGAGAGGGGGAGUCUAAGGGAAACUUCUUUUAGAGCUGAUGAAUAAUUUGCACUUAUCUAUUUCCGGGGAGCCUGAAAAGUUCCAGGUAGCAGAUUUUUCUACAUGCAAAUUAAAAAUCAGCUACCAUAAAGAAGAGAGGACUAUAUCAUGAACAAAAAUUCAAACUCCUUUUGAGGAGUUCCCAUCGUGGGGCAGUGGUUAACGAAUCUGACAUGAGGUUGCGGGUUCGAUCCCUGCCCUUGCUCAGUGGGUUAAGGAUCUGGCAUUGCCAUGAGCUGUGGUGUAGAUCGCAGACGUGGCUCGGAUCCCACGUUGCUGUGGCCCUGGCGUAGGCCGGUGGCUACAGCUCCGAUUAGACCCCUAGCCUGGGAACCUCCAUAUGCCGUGGGAACAGCCCUAAAAAAG
This 6209-nucleotide long non-coding RNA is filed under the name Sus scrofa (pig). Its description in RNAcentral is "lncRNA (ENSSSCG00000054133.1)". The record is from RNAcentral. Lineage: Eukaryota; Metazoa; Chordata; Mammalia; Artiodactyla; Suidae.